UACGGGGGGGGCAAGCGUUGUUCGGAAUUACUGGGCGUAAAGGGCUCGUAGGCGGCCAACUAAGUCAGACGUGAAAUCCCUCGGCUCAACCGGGGAACUGCGUCUGAUACUGGAUGGCUUGAAUCCGGGAGAGGGAUGCGGAAUUCCAGGUGUAGCGGUGAAAUGCGUAGAUAUCUGGAGGAACACCGGUGGCGAAGGCGGCAUCCUGGACCGGUAUUGACGCUGAGGAGCGAAAGCCAGGGGAGCAAACGGG
Molecule: ribosomal RNA, 253 nt
Filed under: uncultured bacterium
Lineage: Bacteria
Description: partial 16S ribosomal RNA
Rfam family: Bacterial small subunit ribosomal RNA
Source: RNAcentral